AUCCAGUGACCAGUCUCAAAUAGGACGAAAUGUGCAUCCUGGAU
Molecule: non-coding RNA, 44 nt
Filed under: Trichobilharzia regenti
Lineage: Eukaryota; Metazoa; Platyhelminthes; Trematoda; Strigeidida; Schistosomatidae
Source: RNAcentral